This 694-nucleotide ribosomal RNA is filed under the name uncultured bacterium. RNAcentral's name for it is "bacterial SSU rRNA". It matches the Rfam family "Bacterial small subunit ribosomal RNA", at positions 61 to 760 of the family's 1533-position model. The record is from RNAcentral.
GUCGAGCGAGAAAGGGGGGCAACUCCCUGAGUACAGCGGCGCACGGGUGAGUAACACGUGGGUAAUCUGCCCUGGAGUGGGGAAUAACACCGGGAAACCGGUGCUAAUACCGCAUACGAUAGCGAGGUCUGCGGACUUUGUUAUGAAAGGAGCAAUUCGCUCUAGGAGGAGCCCGCGGCUGAUUAGCUAGUUGGUGAGGUAACGGCUCACCAAGGCUACGAUCAGUAUCCGGUCUGAGAGGACGGUCGGACACACUGGAACUGAGACACGGUCCAGACUCCUACGGGAGGCAGCAGUGGGGAAUUUUUGGCAAUGGGGGCAACCCUGACCAAGCAACGCCGCGUGGGUGAUGAAGUCUCUUGGGACGUAAAACCCUUUCGACGGGGACGAAAGCCGCAAGGUUUGACGGUACCCGUAGAAGAAGCCCCGGCUAACUCCGUGCCAGCAGCCGCGGUAAUACGGGGGGGGCAAGCGUUGUUCGGAAUUACUGGGCGUAAAGGGCGCGUAGGCGGUCCGCUAAGUUGGAUGUGAAAACUCUGGGCUUAACCCAGAGCCUGCAUUCAAAACUGACGGGCUAGAGUUCUGGAGGGGGUAGCGGAAUUCCUGGUGUAGCGGUGAAAUGCGUAGAUAUCAGGAGGAACACCGGUGGCGAAAGCGGCUACCUGGACAGAAACUGACGCUGAGGCGCGAAAGC